Molecule: RNA transcript, 1613 nt
Organism: Octodon degus (degu)
Lineage: Eukaryota; Metazoa; Chordata; Mammalia; Rodentia; Octodontidae
Gene name: asparagine--tRNA ligase, cytoplasmic pseudogene
Exons: 3
Source: RefSeq, a predicted model, not a curated record
AUGUCCUUGGAGGUGACCAGUGUGACUGCAGGAAUGGUGCUGGCAGAGCUGUAUGUGUCGGAUUGAGAGGGAAAUGAUGCUACAGGAGAUAGAACCAAGGAGAAACCAUUUAAAACAGGUCUAAAGGCUUUGAUGACAGUAGGAAAAGAACCAUUCCCUACCAUUUACAUAGAUUCACAAAAAGAAAAUGAGAGGUGGGAUGCUAUUUCUAAAUCACAGAUGAAGAACAUCAAAAAAAUGUGGCACAGGGAACAAAUGAAGAAUGAAUCCCAGGAGAAGAAAGAGGCAGAAGAUAGUUUGCGAAGAGAAAAGAACCUGGAAGAAGCCAAGAAGAUAUCCAUUAAACAGGAUCCGAGUCUGCCAGAACACAAGUGUGUGAAGAUUUGUGCAUUAGAAGGAUAUAGAGGCCAAAGAGUAAAGUUAUUUGGCUGGGUCCACAGGCUGCGUAGACAAGGAAAGAAUUUAAUGUUCCUGGUGUUGUGGGAUGGUACAGGUUUCCUUCAGUGUGUCUUGUCAGAUGCUUUGUGCCAGUGUUACAAUGGAGUAGUCUUAUCUACUGAGAGUAGUGUUGCAGUAUAUGGAACACUAGCUCUUACCCCAAAAGGCAAACAAGCUCCAGGAGGCCACGAGCUGAACUGUGACUUCUGGGAACUCAUAGGGCUGGCUCCUGCUGGAGGAGCUGAUAACCUGAUCAAUUUUAUCCUUCCUAAUAUUUCUAUUUUGAACAGUGUCAAGUUUCCUAAUGGCUUUUUGACUCUAGGCUAUACUGCACAGUACUAUGACAGCAUUACUGUGAUCAAAAACUUCAUGGGACUUCUAGGAAAAUGGCAGAGUGGGGAGCAGUGGUCAGUCAGCCUCUCCAAGAUUCAGAGUCCAGACACUGAAUUUGGAGAAGAGGCAUUUUUAACUCAGUCCUCUCAGUUGUACCUGGAGACCUGCCUUCCAGCCCUGGGAGAUGUGUUCUGUAUUGCACAAUCAUACAGGGCAGAACAGUCCAGGACACGAAGGCACCUGGCUGAGUACACUCACGUGCAAGCAGAGUGCCCUUUCCUGACCUUUGAGGAGCUCCUGAACCGGUUGGAGGACUUGGUUUGUGACGUAGUAGAUAGAAUCUUAAAGUCACCAGCAGGAAGCAUAGUACUGGAUCUCAACCCGAACUUUAAGCCCCCCCAAACGACCUUUCAGAUGGAUGAACUACACACAGAUGCUAUUGUAUGGUUAAAAGAAUAUAAUAUAAAGAAAGAAGAUGGGACUUUCUACGAAUUUGGAGAGGAUAUCCCAGAAGCUCCUGAGAGACAGAUGACAGACACCAUUAAUGAACCAAUCUUGCUGUGUCGAUUUCCUGUGGAGAUCAAAUCCUUCUAUAUGCAGCAAUGUCCUGAGGAUCCCCGUCUUACUGAAUCAGUAGACGUGUUGAUGCCCAAUGUUGGUGAGAUUGUGGGCGGCUCCAUGAGCAUCUGGGGUAAUGAAGAAAUCCUGGCAGGUUAUAAAAGGGAAGAUAUUGAUCCCGCUCCCUACUACUGUAUACAGAUCAGAGAAAAUAUGGUACAUGUCCUCAUGGAGGAUAUGGCUUGGGCCUGGAGCGGUUCCUGACUUGGAUCCUGAAUAGAUAC